Molecule: ribosomal RNA, 350 nt
Filed under: Affinirhizobium pseudoryzae
Lineage: Bacteria; Pseudomonadati; Pseudomonadota; Alphaproteobacteria; Hyphomicrobiales; Rhizobiaceae
Description: bacterial SSU rRNA
Rfam family: Bacterial small subunit ribosomal RNA
Source: RNAcentral
GUCGAACGCCCCCCCAAGGGGAGUGGCAGACGGGGUGAGUAACGCGUGGGAACAUACCCUUUCCUGCGGAAUAGCUCCGGGAAACUGGAAUUAAUACCGCAUACGCCCUACGGGGGAAAGAUUUAUCGGGGAAGGAUUGGCCCGCGUUGGAUUAGCUAGUUGGUGGGGUAAAGGCCUACCAAGGCGACGAUCCAUAGCUGGUCUGAGAGGAUGAUCAGCCACAUUGGGACUGAGACACGGCCCAAACUCCUACGGGAGGCAGCAGUGGGGAAUAUUGGACAAUGGGCGCAAGCCUGAUCCAGCCAUGCCGCGUGAGUGAUGAAGGCCUUAGGGUUGUAAAGCUCUUUCAC